CCACCCCGUAAGGCUAAAUACUACUUAGUGACCGAUAGCGCAUAGUACUGUGAAGGAAAGGUGAAAAGGACCCCGGGAGGGGAGUGAAAAAGAACCUGAAACCAUAUGUUUACAAGCUGUGGAAGAGCUUUAUAUGCUCAACCGCGUACUUUUUGUAGAACGGUCCGGCGAGUUACGCUGGCUGGCGAGGUUAAGGACUCAAGGUCUGGAGCCGAAGGGAAACCAAGUCUGAAUAGGGCGCAUAGUCAGUCGGAGUAGACCCGAAACCGGGUGAUCUAUCCAUGUCCAGGUUGAAGUUGCCGUAAAAGGCAAUGGAGGACCGAACCCACAUCCGUUGAAAAGGGUGGGGAUGAGGUGUGGAUAGGGGAGAAAUUCCAAUCGAACCCGGAGAUAGCUGGUUCUCCUCGAAAUAGCUUUAGGGCUAGCCUCAUACGAGUCUUGCGGAGGUAGAGCACUGAAUUCCUAAGGGGGCGUCAAAGCUUACUAAGGGAUAUCAAACUCCGAAUGCCGUGUAGAUGAUGUAUGGGAGUCAGACGAUCCGAGAUAAGUUGGGUGGUCAAAAGGGAAAGAGCCCAGACCAACAGCUAAGGCCCCAAAAUGUGUGUUAAGUGGAAAAGGAUGUGGGAUUUCGAAGACAACUAGGAUGUUGGCUCAGAAGCAGCCAUUCAUUCAAAGAGUGCGUAAUAGCUCACUAGUCGAGAGGUCCUGCGCCGAAAAUGUCCGGGGCUAAAACACACUGCCGAAGCUUUGGAAUUGAGAAUUCAAUUGGUAGAGGAGCAUUCUUAAAGGGAUGAAGCAGUACCGUAAGGAGCUGUGGACUUUUAAGAAGAGAGAAUGCCGGAAUGAGUAGCGAGAGGAAGGUGGGAAUCCUUCCGGCCGAAUAUCUAAGGUUUCCAGAGUAAAGCUGAUCUGCUCUGGGUAAGUCGGGGCCUAAGGCGAGGUCGAAAGACGUAGUCGAUGGAUAACAGGUUGAAAUUCCUGUACUAUCCUGUAACAGAACUGUGGGGACACAGGCAGAGAGCGUGAGCCGGGAAUGGAAAGACCGGUACAAGCGAGGUAGGAGAAGAGUUGGCAAAUCCGCUCUUUAAUCUGAAGACGUGAUGUGGACUGAAAAUAAGUAGGGAAGCACGUGAGCUGACUGUCAAGAAAAGCCGCUAUUGUUUGCAGGAUACCCGUACCGUAAACCGACACAGGUGGAUGAGGAGAGAAUCCUAAGGCCGACGGGAGAAGCAUUGUUAAGGAACUCGGCAAAAUGACUCCGUAACUUCGGGAGAAGGAGUGCCAGUAAGAUGGCCGCAGAGAAUUGGCCCAAGCAACUGUUUAGCAAAAACACAGGUCUAUGCAAAACCGAAAGGUGAGGUAUAUGGGCUGACGCCUGCCCGGUGCUGGAAGGUUAAGGGGAGAGGUUAGCGCAAGCGAAGCUUUGAACUUAAGCCCCAGUAAACGGCGGCCGUAACUAUAACGGUCCUAAGGUAGCGAAAUUCCUUGUCGGGUAAGUUCCGACCCGCACGAAAGGCGUAAUGAUUUGGGCACUGUCUCAACAAUGCACCCGGUGAAAUUGAAAUA
RNAcentral lists this ribosomal RNA (1566 nucleotides) under human gut metagenome. RNAcentral's name for it is "bacterial LSU rRNA". It matches the Rfam family "Bacterial large subunit ribosomal RNA", at positions 453 to 2049 of the family's 2925-position model. The record is from RNAcentral.